RNAcentral lists this small nuclear RNA (163 nucleotides) under Pogona vitticeps (central bearded dragon). RNAcentral's name for it is "U1 spliceosomal RNA (ENSPVIG00000018164.1)". It matches the Rfam family "U1 spliceosomal RNA". Rfam says of the family: U1 is a small nuclear RNA (snRNA) component of the spliceosome (involved in pre-mRNA splicing). Its 5' end forms complementary base pairs with the 5' splice junction, thus defining the 5' donor site of an intron. There are significant differences in sequence and secondary structure between metazoan and yeast U1 snRNAs, the latter being much longer (568 nucleotides as compared to 164 nucleotides in human). The record is from Rfam by way of RNAcentral. Lineage: Eukaryota; Metazoa; Chordata; Lepidosauria; Squamata; Agamidae.
ACUCAUACCUUGCAGGGGAAAUGCCAUGGUCAUGAAAGUGGUUUUCCUGGGGGAGGCUCAUCCAUUGCAUUUCAGGUCUGCUGAUCCCUGCGAUUUCCCUUAAUGUGGGAAACUAAACUGCAUAAUUUGUGGUAGUGGGGGAUUGCAUUUGUGUUUUCCCUGG